RNAcentral lists this ribosomal RNA (736 nucleotides) under uncultured Fusobacterium sp. RNAcentral describes it as "bacterial SSU rRNA". It matches the Rfam family "Bacterial small subunit ribosomal RNA", at positions 28 to 776 of the family's 1533-position model. The record is from RNAcentral. Lineage: Bacteria; Fusobacteriati; Fusobacteriota; Fusobacteriia; Fusobacteriales; Fusobacteriaceae.
GAUGAACGCUGACAGAAUGCUUAACACAUGCAAGUCUACUUGAAUUUAGGUUUUUUAACUUCGAUUUGGGUGGCGGACGGGUGAGUAACGCGUAAAGAACUUGCCUCACAGUUAGGGACAACAUUUGGAAACGAAUGCUAAUACCUAAUAUUAUGAUUUUAGGGCAUCCUAUAAUUAUGAAAGCUAUAAGCGCUGUGAGAGAGCUUUGCGUCCCAUUAGCUAGUUGGAGAGGUAACGGCUCACCAAGGCGAUGAUGGGUAGCCGGCCUGAGAGGGUGAUCGGCCACAAGGGGACUGAGACACGGCCCUUACUCCUACGGGAGGCAGCAGUGGGGAAUAUUGGACAAUGGACCAAGAGUCUGAUCCAGCAAUUCUGUGUGCACGAUGAAGUUUUUCGGAAUGUAAAGUGCUUUCAGUUGGGAAGAAAAAAAUGACGGUACCAACAGAAGAAGUGACGGCUAAAUACGUGCCAGCAGCCGCGGUAAUACGUAUGUCACGAGCGUUAUCCGGAUUUAUUGGGCGUAAAGCGCGUCUAGGUGGUUAUAUAAGUCUGAUGUGAAAAUGCAGGGCUCAACUCUGUAUUGCGUUGGAAACUGUAUAACUAGAGUACUGGAGAGGUAAGCGGAACUACAAGUGUAGAGGUGAAAUUCGUAGAUAUUUGUAGGAAUGCCGAUGGGGAAGCCAGCUUACUGGACAGAUACUGACGCUGAAGCGCGAAAGCGUGGGUAGCAAACAGG